GCGAUAGUGAUAUAUAAAGAGGUGUAGUGAAGGAGUGAUAGUGGUAUAGAAAGAGGUGUAGUAAAGGAGUGAUAGUGGUAUAAAAAGAGGUGUAGUGAAGGAGUGGUAGUGGUAUAGAAAGAGGUGUAGUGAAAGUGUGAUAGUGGUAUAGAAAGAGGUGUAGUGAAGGAAU
Molecule: long non-coding RNA, 172 nt
Organism: Oncorhynchus keta (chum salmon)
Lineage: Eukaryota; Metazoa; Chordata; Actinopteri; Salmoniformes; Salmonidae
Exons: 3
Source: RefSeq, a predicted model, not a curated record